UACGUAGGGUGCAAGCGUUAAUCGGAAUUACUGGGCGUAAAGCGUGCGCAGGCGGUUUUGUAAGUCUGACGUGAAAUCCCCUGGCUCAACCUGGGAAUUGCGUUGGAGACUGCAAGGCUAGAAUCUGGCAGAGGGGGGUAGAAUUCCACGUGUAGCAGUGAAAUGCGUAGAGAUGUGGAGGAACACCGAUGGCGAAGGCAGCCCCCUGGGUCAAGAUUGACGCUCAUGCACGAAAGCGUGGGGAGCAAACAGG
RNAcentral lists this ribosomal RNA (253 nucleotides) under uncultured bacterium. RNAcentral describes it as "partial 16S ribosomal RNA". It matches the Rfam family "Bacterial small subunit ribosomal RNA", at positions 524 to 776 of the family's 1533-position model. The record is from RNAcentral.